RNAcentral lists this non-coding RNA (697 nucleotides) under Zoniolaimus dendrolagi. The record is from RNAcentral. Lineage: Eukaryota; Metazoa; Nematoda; Chromadorea; Rhabditida; Strongylidae.
AAGAUUACUUUUAUAGAUUUUAAAUUUGAUUAUAAUUUGUUAGUAGUUAAAAUGAUAUUAUUUAAAUUUAAUUUAUUUUGUGGGCAAUGUUGUUUUACCCCGGCAAUUAGUUAUUUGUAUAACAUUUGUUCCAGAAUAAUCGGCUAGGCUUGUGAAAAUUUAUAUUUUAUUUUGUUUUGAUUACAAUUGUGUUAUUGUAUUUUUAGUAAUUAUAGGUUAAAUUUUAAUUAUUAUGUGUAAUGAGUUGUAAUUUUAAGAUUUGUUAAAACGAAUUAGAUUAGUACCUAAUUAGUCAAAAAUUAAAAGUGCAGAAGUAAAGUGGUAUUUAAACUGAAAGAAUAUUGGCAGAUUUUCUAAAUUAUCUUUGGAGGUUGAGUAAUAAUUGAGAACCCUCAUUAACUACUUUAAAGUUUUGGUCUCAUGUAUGAUCGUUUAUUUUAUACUUAAGGUAUAUAAUAAAAAAUGUUUAUUUAUAAAAAUAGAUAUAUAUUUGGUUUGUGUAAGAGUAAUAUUUGACCUACAAUAAGUUGUGUUUGUGGAUUUGUAAUUUAGUGUUAUAAUGAAAAUGUAAAAGACAGUAAAAAAAUUUUUAUGUUUUUUUGAAGAUUAUUUAGAUGUGGUACAAAUCAUCCAUCAAUUGUCCCAAGGGGAGUAAGUUGUAGUAAAGUAGAUUUAGGGGAACCUGAAUCUAGUAAAA